GAUGAACGCUGGCGGCGUGCCUAAUACAUGCAAGUCGAGCGAACAGACGAGGAGCUUGCUCCUCUGACGUUAGCGGCGGACGGGUGAGUAACACGUGGAUAACCUACCUAUAAGACUGGGAUAACUUCGGGAAACCGGAGCUAAUACCGGAGAAUAUAUUGAACCGCAUGGUUCAAUAGUGAAAGACGGUUUUGCUGUCACUUAUAGAUGGAUCCGCGCCGCAUUAGCUAGUUGGUAAGGUAACGGCUUACCAAGGCUACGAUGCGUAGCCGACGUGAGAGGGUGAUAGGCCACACUGGAACUGAGACACGGUCCAGACUCCUACGGGAGGCAGCAGUAGGGAAUCUUCCGCAAUGGGCGAAAGCCUGACGGAGCAACGCCGCGUGAGUGAUGACGGUCUUCGGAGCGUAAAACUCUGUUAUUAGGGAAGAACAAAUGUGUAAGUAACUAUGCACGUCUUGACGGUACCUAAUCAGAAAGCCACGGCUAACUACGUG
This 497-nucleotide ribosomal RNA is filed under the name uncultured bacterium. RNAcentral describes it as "partial 16S ribosomal RNA". It matches the Rfam family "Bacterial small subunit ribosomal RNA", at positions 28 to 507 of the family's 1533-position model. The record is from RNAcentral.